GACGAACGCUGGCGGCAUGCCUAAUACAUGCAAGUCGAGCGAACAGAUGAAGUGCUUGCACUUCUGACGUUAGCGGCGAACGGGUGAGUAACACGUAAGGAAUCUACCUAUAAGCGGGGGAUAACAUUCGGAAACGGGUGCUAAUACCGCAUAAUAUCUUCUUACGCAUGGAAGAAGAUUGAAAGACGGCUCUGCUGUCACUUAUCGAUGACCUUGCGGUGCAUUAGUUAGUUGGUGGGGUAAUGGCCUACCAAGACGAUGAUGCAUAGCCGACCUGAGAGGGUGAGCGGCCACAUUGGGACUGAGACACGGCCCAAACUCCUACGGGAGGCAGCAGUAGGGAAUCUUCCGCAAUGGGCGAAAGCCUGACGGAGCAAUGCCGCGUGAGUGAAGAAGGCCUUCGGGUCGUAAAACUCUGUUAUAAGAGAAGAACAAAUUGUAGAGUAACUGCUACAGUCUUGACGGUAUCUUAUCAGAAAGCCACGGCUAACUACGUGCCAGCAGCCGCCGAAA
This 513-nucleotide ribosomal RNA is filed under the name uncultured bacterium. Its description in RNAcentral is "partial 16S ribosomal RNA". It matches the Rfam family "Bacterial small subunit ribosomal RNA", at positions 28 to 523 of the family's 1533-position model. The record is from RNAcentral.